CUACGAAAGGGGCAAGCGUUGUUCGGAAUUACUGGGCGUAAAGCGCGCGUAGGCGGCAUGUCAAGUUGGGGGUGAAAUCCCGGAGCUCAACUCCGGAACUGCCUCCAAAACUGGCAAGCUAGAGGAUGUGAGAGGAUAGUGGAAUUCCGAGUGUAGAGGUGAAAUUCGUAGAUAUUCGGAAGAACACCAGUGGCGAAGGCGACUGUCUGGCACAUUUCUGACGCUGAGGUGCGAAAGCGUGGGGAGCGAACAGGAUUAGAAACCCUAGUAGUCC
This 274-nucleotide ribosomal RNA is filed under the name uncultured bacterium. RNAcentral's name for it is "partial 16S ribosomal RNA". It matches the Rfam family "Bacterial small subunit ribosomal RNA", at positions 523 to 796 of the family's 1533-position model. The record is from RNAcentral.